UCUCCGUAGGUGAACCUGCGGAGGGAUUAUUACUGAGUGAGGGCUCCGGCCCGACCUCCAACCCCAUGUGAACCGAAACCUGUUGCUUCGGGGGCGACCCUGCCGCUUCGGCGGUGCGGCGCCCCCGGAGGCCAUUAAACACUGCAUCAUUGCGUCGGAGUUAAAGUAAAUUAAACAAAACUUUCAACAACGGAUCUCUUGGUUCCAGCAUCGAUGAAAACGAGC
Molecule: unclassified non-coding RNA, 225 nt
Filed under: uncultured fungus
Lineage: Eukaryota; Fungi
Description: sequence contains ITS1, 5.8S rRNA gene
Source: RNAcentral